RNAcentral lists this ribosomal RNA (537 nucleotides) under Triticum aestivum (bread wheat). Its description in RNAcentral is "partial small subunit ribosomal RNA". The record is from RNAcentral. Lineage: Eukaryota; Viridiplantae; Streptophyta; Magnoliopsida; Poales; Poaceae.
AUGGCUGCACGAGCACUGACCGCCGCCGGCCGCCGGGUGGCCGGCCAGAGCCUGACCAGGCCGACGCCUCUUCUUGCCUCCUCCAGUAGCGGGGCCAGCAUGAACUACUCCUUGGCCAACGCGCAGCGUGAGGAGGAGCGCGGGGACGUCCAUGGCCCGGCGGCGGCGAUGACGGGGGCGCAGGUGGAGGCCGCGCUGAAUCGCAAGAACGUCGAGGUGCUCCAGGGCGAGGAGGAGCACGUCGCCACGGCCACGGUGCUGCCAGAUAGCGACGAGACAGUCGGCGGCGCGCUGGACGGCGGCGAGGACGCAUCGUGGGUGCCCGACCAGGACACGGGCGUCUUCGUCCCCGCCGAUGCCGACGCUGACGCCCACUGCGGGGGCGCGCAUCCCGCCCCACCGCACCUGUACGGAGGCGUGGGCGGGCCGGCGUCGGUGCUGGACCAGGCGGUGUUCGUCCGGGAGGAGGAGAUGGAGGACGUGGAAAGGCCCGCCAUGGGCCUCACCGAUGCCAACGACGGCAGCAACAACAACUAG